Molecule: RNase P RNA, 210 nt
Filed under: Alphaproteobacteria bacterium
Lineage: Bacteria; Pseudomonadati; Pseudomonadota; Alphaproteobacteria
Description: RNase P RNA component class A
Rfam family: Bacterial RNase P class A
About the family: Ribonuclease P (RNase P) is a ubiquitous endoribonuclease, found in archaea, bacteria and eukarya as well as chloroplasts and mitochondria. Its best characterised activity is the generation of mature 5'-ends of tRNAs by cleaving the 5'-leader elements of precursor-tRNAs.
Source: RNAcentral
CUGGAUGAUCGCGGAUGAUAUGAUUCUGAGGAAAGUCCGGGCACCUGAUAAACAAGAUGCCGGAGAACGUCCGGCGGCUGUUGCUUAAGCGGCAGUUUAGGGAAAGUGCCACAGAAAUGAUACCGCCUUCGGGUAAGGGUGAAAUGGUGCGGUAAGAGCGCACCGCGCGUUUGGUAACAAACGUGGCAGGGAAAGCCCCCAGAAAUGGGG